GACGAACGCUGGCGGCGUGCCUAAUACAUGCAAGUUGAGCGCUGAAGGUUGGUACUUGUACCGACUGGAUGAGCAGCGCACGGGUGAGUAACGCGUGGGGAAUCUGCCUUUGAGCGGGGGACAACCUUUGGAAACGAAUGCUAAUACCGCAUAAAAUCUUUAAACACAAGUUUUAAGUUUGAAAGAUGCAAUUGCAUCACUCAAAGAUGAUCCCGCGUUGUAUUAGCUAGUUGGUGAGGUAAAGGCUCACCAAGGCGAGGAUACAUAGCCGACCUGAGAGGGUGAUCGGCCACAUUGGGACUGAGACACGGCCCAAACUCCCUCGGGAGGGAGCAGUAGGGAAACGUCGGCAAGGGACGAAAGUCUGACCGAGCAACGCCGCGUGAGUGAAGAAGGGUGUCGGAUCGGAAAACUCGGUUGGUAGAGAAGAACGUUGGUGAGAGUGGAAAGCUCAGCAAGUGACGGUAACUACCCAGAAAGGGACGGCUAACUACGUG
RNAcentral lists this ribosomal RNA (497 nucleotides) under uncultured bacterium. Its description in RNAcentral is "partial 16S ribosomal RNA". It matches the Rfam family "Bacterial small subunit ribosomal RNA", at positions 28 to 507 of the family's 1533-position model. The record is from RNAcentral.